This 402-nucleotide ribosomal RNA is filed under the name Triticum aestivum (bread wheat). RNAcentral describes it as "partial small subunit ribosomal RNA". The record is from RNAcentral. Lineage: Eukaryota; Viridiplantae; Streptophyta; Magnoliopsida; Poales; Poaceae.
AUGCGUGUGGCACUGGUGGUGCCUCGUUUGCCGGAGGCAGCACCGAGUCGAGCGGCCGGUGCUGCAAGAGGCUUCACGGUGGGUGGCGGCCUCUUCGGCGGCGACAGUGUGGCGACCCGCCUCCAUCCCCCUCUCCCUUCCUUGCCCGUGGCGAUGGACGAGGACCAUGGCCCGACCUCCUUCUCCAUAACCCGCACCCGCGCUCUCCUAUUUUCGCCGCUGGACUCUCAUCGCCACGGCGGCGGCGGCCCCUGCCCCCACUCCACGCUCCUCUUCUCUUCGUCGCGCACGGCGGCAGAAGGAGGGUUUCUGAUGGGAGCAAGGCUUGCGACCCCUCCGUCACAACUGCUCCGGGGCCCGGACAAAGCCGAGGCCGUCUCUGUGAACUCUCCAGCGAGCUGA